ACCGCGAUCGCUCAGCUGGUAGAGCUUGUGCCCGGUACGUAGAAGGUCGCUGGUUUGAUUCCGGCUUGCGGAG
Molecule: transfer RNA, 73 nt
Filed under: Fasciola gigantica
Lineage: Eukaryota; Metazoa; Platyhelminthes; Trematoda; Plagiorchiida; Fasciolidae
Rfam family: tRNA
About the family: Transfer RNA (tRNA) molecules are approximately 80 nucleotides in length. Their secondary structure includes four short double-helical elements and three loops (D, anti-codon, and T loops).
Source: Rfam by way of RNAcentral